GCGCCCGUAGCUCAGCUGGAUAGAGCAAUGGCCUUCUAAGCCAUGGGUCGCAGGUUCGAAUCCUGCCGGGCGCGCCA
This 77-nucleotide transfer RNA is filed under the name Cellvibrionales bacterium. RNAcentral describes it as "tRNA-Arg". It matches the Rfam family "tRNA". From Rfam's summary of the family: Transfer RNA (tRNA) molecules are approximately 80 nucleotides in length. Their secondary structure includes four short double-helical elements and three loops (D, anti-codon, and T loops). Further hydrogen bonds mediate the characteristic L-shaped molecular structure. tRNAs have two regions of fundamental functional importance: the anti-codon, which is responsible for specific mRNA codon recognition, and the 3' end, to which the tRNAs corresponding amino acid is attached (by aminoacyl-tRNA synthetases). tRNAs cope with the degeneracy of the genetic code in two manners: having more than one tRNA (with a specific anti-codon) for a particular amino acid; and 'wobble' base-pairing, i.e. permitting non-standard base-pairing at the 3rd anti-codon position. Lineage: Bacteria; Pseudomonadati; Pseudomonadota; Gammaproteobacteria; Cellvibrionales. The record is from RNAcentral. RNAcentral also lists the same sequence under 1 other name.